Molecule: long non-coding RNA, 2515 nt
Filed under: Solanum tuberosum (potato)
Lineage: Eukaryota; Viridiplantae; Streptophyta; Magnoliopsida; Solanales; Solanaceae
Description: long non-coding RNA (STUB_LNC003460)
Source: RNAcentral
UCAAUAUAAGAUUGAUAUUUCAAAGAACUAAAUACUUCUACAUAUGUUUGUUCUUGUAAGAAAAAAUAAUAAGCAAGUCAUUAAUUAUAUUCUAAUCCUACUAGUUAUGACUUUUGAAUAGUCCGAUCUUCCAAUAGUACUUGUAUUGAAGCAAUGGUUCAAUUGUGCAUGUUCAUCCUGCAAAUAAAAGAUAAAUAUAAUUAUAAUUUGACAAAGUAAGUUAUAAUAAAAUACACAAAUAUAAAUCUCAAAAGUAGAGAUAUUCACAUGAAUGCACUCACAAAUACACCCACACAAACUUUAAUCUCCUAAUAAAUCUCCUUACUCUCCUGAUAAAUCACCUUAUUUCAUUUGAAAAUGACCAAAAUCAGACACUCAUUAAAUUAUAUACAGAAGAGAGACUGAGAUGUUCCAGAUUUGGUAAAGGAUCAUCAAACUUUGUGGAUUAUUAAAGCUGUUUUGAGACUUUCUUUUCCACAAUUGGAUGUAGAUUUGAGUUGGCUCAAACUUUGCGACGUUAUUGAACUCCUCAAACCUGUCCCUCUUUUGAAACAAGUCCACUGGAUCAAACCAGUCAUAGGUAUGAACAAGUUAAAUACAGAUGGAAGUUUUAUUCAUUCAACCGGAAAGGCAGACUUGGGGGAAUUCUUAGAGAUGAAGAAGGAGACGUCAUUUUUGCUUUCUCUAUGCCUGUUCAGAGUAAUAGCAGAAAUAUGGCAGAAGCGUUGGCAGCUAAAUUUGUCUUAGACCAUUGCAUUCAACAUGGAGUACAUAAUAUUUCUUUGGAAUUGGACUCAAUGUUGAUCACUAUUCUCAUAAAGCAAGGUCACUCUAGCAAUAUCUUUCUGAAGCCUAUUAUAGAUGACAUCAAUGAGAUGGUGAAGGAUGCAAAUAUUGAAUUUUCUCACUGUUAUAGAGAAUAAAAUCAUGUCGCAAAUGGUUUAUCAAAGUUCGCAACUACAUUAAAUAAGCCUAAAUUCAUCAAUCAAUACCACGAUUUGCCCCAAGAUUAUAAGGGCCUUAUCACCUUGAUAAAUGUCAAAUGCCAAGUUUUAGGAUACGCUAUGACAAAGCAAAUUUCUUCGUCAGCUAAUCUCAAUGCUCCUUUUUCUUUCAUGGGAGAAUUUUUUUGUUAUGUAUAUGGUAGAAGAGCAUUCGCUCUUAGAAUAUCCCAUUUUUUUGUGUAUCACACAUUGUGUGUUGUGGAGGUAAGGCUCACAUUCCCCUCCAUUUAUGUACUUGCCUUUUAAGUUAUAAAUAUUUUUUCCUUGAAAAAAAAACCCAUCAUAUUUAUUAUUUCAAGGCUAGAAAAUUUCUGGAAAAAUCCUUGGCCGAUACUACUCUCCAAAUCAGAUGCAGACAUAUUUAAUAACCUCAGAUUUGUCAAUUUAUGCAUUCCUAUCGGCAGACAGCGUAACUGUGUAUUAUCACAAUCAAGCAAUUGCAAAUUACAAAGAUUAUCAAUAUCUGGUAACUCUUUCAACUCAUUGCAUUUUUGUAGUAUUAGAGAACGUAGUUGACAUAAACUAUUAAUGGAAGAAGGCAGUGCUCUAAUACUAAUAUGACUCAGAUUCACAACUCUUAGAGCUGGAAAUGCAAAACAAGAGAUAUUUAGGCAACAUACCUCACUUGAUUUCUUGUUUUCCAGCUCUACAAUUUUUUCCUCAAGUAAUGAUUUUUUACUCAAAAGCCUCUUUUUUGUUUCUUCUGCGGUACGCAACAUAGAACGAGCUUUCAGCUCUUCAUGGAUCUUUUCAAAGACCUGCAAUUAGUGAAGUCACAUGAGUGAAAUCCGUACAAGUUCACAUGUCAGUCUAUGUAUUCGGACUUGAAAAGUAUACAGAGAUUAACUUGAGGUCUCAUUAUUUUUUGAAUUCAGUAAAUUAAUGUCAACAUUUGUACAUAAGCUGUCAUGCACCCCUACACAUUUGGAUUGAGCACAGUUGUUGAAAUGUACAUAACAUCUUGAAGGAGAAAAGCUACUAAUACAAAUAAAAGGUUCAUCCACUCUAAUUGUGCACAUAAACAGAUGUAAGAAAAGCAACUCUGUCCACAAUUUCCUUAGUCUAAUUCUUGGAUAUCGUCAUCAAUCCCAACCCCGCUGUGAGCUUACUGACCCAUAUAAUUUUGACCAUAGUGACAUAUAUUCCACAAACAACAUAUUGUGGUGAACUCAGGAAUCUAGUUGUGUUCUAUUAAGUACUGUUGAGACUUGAGAUGAAGGAUUAAAGGUUCCUAAUGUGAAAGAUUGGCUAAAGUGUUUUUUUUUGGUGAAGUGAAAGAUUGGCUAAAGUAUGGAUGUACAGUACAUGUUAUUGGUAAAAAGAAACAUAUGUAAAUAGAUGCACUAGAAAUAAGAAACAGCAUUGAUGAAUGCUCACAGGAAUAUUGAUUUUUUUCAUGAAGGGCAUUCCCUACCUUGUGCUGUCAGAUAAUACAACAUGAUGCCAAUGAGAUCCAAUAGUUCUUGAAGGAGAAGAAGGAUCUACACUAUGCAAUUGCAAAUGAAUUUGGA